Molecule: ribosomal RNA, 801 nt
Filed under: uncultured bacterium
Lineage: Bacteria
Description: bacterial SSU rRNA
Rfam family: Bacterial small subunit ribosomal RNA
Source: RNAcentral
AGAGUUUGAUCCUGGCUCAGGAUGAACGCUGGCGGCGUGCUUAACACAUGCAAGUCGAACGGGAAUUACUUUAUUGAAACUUCGGUCGAUUUAAUUUAAUUCUAGUGGCGGACGGGUGAGUAACGCGUGGGUAACCUGCCUUAUACAGGGGGAUAACAGUCAGAAAUGGCUGCUAAUACCGCAUAAGCGCACAGAGCUGCAUGGCUCAGUGUGAAAAACUCCGGUGGUAUAAGAUGGACCCGCGUUGGAUUAGCUGGUUGGUGGGGUAACGGCCCACCAAGGCGACGAUCCAUAGCCGGUCUGAGAGGGUGAACGGCCACAUUGGGACUGAGACACGGCCCAGACUCCUACGGGAGGCAGCAGUGGGGAAUAUUGCACAAUGGAGGAAACUCUGAUGCAGCGACGCCGCGUGAGUGAAGAAGUAUUUCGGUAUGUAAAGCUCUAUCAGCAGGGAAGAAAAUGACGGUACCUGACUAAGAAGCACCGGCUAAAUACGUGCCAGCAGCCGCGGUAAUACGUAUGGUGCAAGCGUUAUCCGGAUUUACUGGGUGUAAAGGGAGCGUAGGUGGCAAGGCAAGCCAGAAGUGAAAACCCGGGGCUCAACCGCGGGAUUGCUUUUGGAACUGUCAUGCUAGAGUGCAGGAGGGGUGAGCGGAAUUCCUAGUGUAGCGGUGAAAUGCGUAGAUAUUAGGAGGAACACCGGAGGCGAAGGCGGCUCACUGGACUGUAACUGACACUGAGGCUCGAAAGCGUGGGGAGCAAACAGGAUUAGAUACCCUGGUAGUCCACGCGGUAAACGAU